This 337-nucleotide unclassified non-coding RNA is filed under the name soil metagenome. Its description in RNAcentral is "partial contains 5.8S ribosomal RNA, internal transcribed spacer 2, and large subunit ribosomal RNA". The stretch from base 1 to 120 matches the Rfam family "5.8S ribosomal RNA", at positions 35 to 154 of the family's 154-position model. The record is from RNAcentral.
GAUGAAGAACGUAGCGAAAUGCGAUAAGUAGUGUGAAUUGCAGAAUUCAGUGAAUCAUCGAAUCUUUGAACGCACAUUGCGCCCCUUGGUAUUCCAUGGGGCAUGCCUGUUCGAGCGUCAUUUGUACCUUCAAGCUCUGCUUGGUGUUGGGUGUUUGUCUCGCCUCUGCGUGUAGACUCGCCUCAAAAUAAUUGGCAGCCGGCGUAUUGACUUCGGAGCGCAGUACAUCUCGCGCUUUGCACUCAUAACGACGACGUCCAAAAGUACAUUUUUACACUCUUGACCUCGGAUCAGGUAGGGAUACCCGCUGAACUUAAGCAUAUCAAUAAGCGGAGGA